CUGACCUUAGCUCAGUUGGUAGAGUGGUGGACUGUAGUUGGACUAAUCUAAAUUGGAAAUCCUUAGGUCGCUGGUUUGAUUCCGCCAGGUUGGA
Molecule: transfer RNA, 94 nt
Filed under: Ipomoea nil (Japanese morning glory)
Lineage: Eukaryota; Viridiplantae; Streptophyta; Magnoliopsida; Solanales; Convolvulaceae
Rfam family: tRNA
About the family: Transfer RNA (tRNA) molecules are approximately 80 nucleotides in length. Their secondary structure includes four short double-helical elements and three loops (D, anti-codon, and T loops).
Source: Rfam by way of RNAcentral